Molecule: ribosomal RNA, 460 nt
Filed under: uncultured bacterium
Lineage: Bacteria
Description: partial 16S ribosomal RNA
Rfam family: Bacterial small subunit ribosomal RNA
Source: RNAcentral
CCUACGGGAGGCAGCAGUGAGGAAUAUUGGUCAAUGGGCGUAAGCCUGAACCAGCCAAGUCGCGUGAGGGAUGAAGGUUCUAUGGAUCGUAAACCUCUUUUAUAAGGGAAUAAAGUGUGGGACGUGUCCUGUUUUGUAUGUACCUUAUGAAUAAGGAUCGGCUAACUCCGUGCCAGCAGCAGCGGUAAUACGGAGGAUCCGAGCGUUAUCCGGAUUUAUUGGGUUUAAAGGGUGCGUAGGCGGCCUUUUAAGUCAGCGGUGAAAGUCUGUGGCUCAACCAUCGAAUUGCCGUUGAAACUGGGAGUCUUGAGUCUGUUUGAGGCCGGCGGAAUGCGUGGUGUAGCGGUGAAAUGCUUAGAUAUCACGCAGAACCCCGAUUGCGAAGGCAGCCUGCCAAGCCAUGCCUGACGCUGAUGCACGAAAGCGUGGGGCUCAAACAGGAUUAGAUACCCGUGUAGUC